AGAUGUUGGGUUAAGUCCCGUUAACGAGCGCAACCCUUGUCCUUAGUUACCAGCACGUUAUGGUGGGCACGUCUAAGGAGACUGCCGGUGACAAACCGGAGGAAGGUGGGGAUGACGUCAAGUCAUCAUGGCCCUUACGGCCUGGGCUACACACGUGCUACAAUGGUCGGUACAAAGGGUUGCCAAGCCGCGAGGUGGAGCUAAUCCCAUAAAACCGAUCGUAGUCCGGAUCGCAGUCUGCAACUCGACUGCGUGAAGUCGGAAUCGCUAGUAAUCGUGAAAUCAGAAUGUCACGGUGAAUACGUUCCCGGGCCUU
RNAcentral lists this ribosomal RNA (316 nucleotides) under uncultured Pseudomonas sp. RNAcentral describes it as "bacterial SSU rRNA". It matches the Rfam family "Bacterial small subunit ribosomal RNA", at positions 1070 to 1382 of the family's 1533-position model. Lineage: Bacteria; Pseudomonadati; Pseudomonadota; Gammaproteobacteria; Pseudomonadales; Pseudomonadaceae. The record is from RNAcentral.